GAGAUGUGUGAUGACGCAUAUCAAUAAGCGGAGGAAAAGAAACUAACAAGGAUUCCCUUAGUAACGGCAAGUGAAGCGGGAAGAGCUCAAAUUUGAAAUCUUCAAGGUUCUACCUUGACGAAUUGUAGUUUAUAGAAGUGUUUUCUGUUAGUAGAGUGGCAAAAGUUCUUUGGAAUAGGACAUCAUAGAGGGUGAGAAUCCCGUAUUUGGUCAUUCUUUCUAGCUUUGUGAUACACUUUCAACGAGUCGGAUUGUUUGGGAAUGCAGUCCAAAAUGGGUGGUAAAUUUCAUCUAAAGCUAAAUAUUGGCGAGAGACCGAUAGCGAACAAGUACCGUGAGGGAAAGAUGAAAAGAACUUUGAAAAGAGAGUUAAACAGUACGUGAAAUUGUCAAAAGGGAAGCGUUUGACACCAGUGUUGUUUUUCCGAAAAUCAAUUAUGAAUGGCUUGAUUUUAAGUUUCAUGACCUUAAAAGCUUGUUUCUUAUUUUUCAUGUCUUUCGUAAUGCACUUUUCGGUUAACAAGUCAACAUCAAUUUCUUUUGUUGUAAAAGGUUAAGAGGAAGGUGGCUUUACUUUCGGGUAAAGUGUUUAUAGCCUUUUAACUCUGCAAUCGGAGAGAUUGAGGUCUGCAGCGUAGAUCCUUCGGGGUUAGAUACAUUUGUGCUAAGUCAUAGCUUUUCAUAGACAACUUGUUGACUAUGUUAAGUCUUGUAAUUUACUCGCAGAUGCUAUUUUACCUACGCUUAGGAUGUUGACAGCAGUAUAGACUGU
This 772-nucleotide ribosomal RNA is filed under the name uncultured Neocallimastigales. RNAcentral's name for it is "partial large subunit ribosomal RNA". It matches the Rfam family "Eukaryotic large subunit ribosomal RNA", at positions 23 to 634 of the family's 3401-position model. Lineage: Eukaryota; Fungi; Neocallimastigomycota; Neocallimastigomycetes; Neocallimastigales. The record is from RNAcentral.